Molecule: long non-coding RNA, 2197 nt
Filed under: Sorghum bicolor (sorghum)
Lineage: Eukaryota; Viridiplantae; Streptophyta; Magnoliopsida; Poales; Poaceae
Description: long non-coding RNA (SBIC_LNC003980)
Source: RNAcentral
UGUUAUGAUAUCUGAACUGAGCUACAUCAGGAGCUUGUUGGAGAGGAGCGUUCGGUCUUUGCUGAACUGAGCUCAGGAGCUUGUUAGAGAGGAGCACUAGUGGAUUGCGCGCGAGCACAACGAAUUCUAGAUUGUCCUACGGUGGUUACAAUGGUGUUGACAAAGGUGUUACCAUCCACAGCUUGAAAGAUAACAUAGAUAGGAUUGCUGUGUACACAAAGGAUUGCAUGUGACAGUUGCAGUUCUGGUCUUGGCAUAAGAGUGUUUUAUAGCGCUAGGUGGUAUUAUUACAUACUGUCAGCAGGAUGCUGAGGUUGGUUUUGGUGAGAUAUGACUAUCUCAGAUUAUUGAGCUGCAGUAUUAAACAAGGGUUGGGGGGCAGCACAGCUGACAGUGUUGCUCUCUCUGAUAGAGAUGUUCGAAUCAUCAGUAGUUCAUGCUACGGUCUGACUCCCAUCCAGGUUCGUAGUCAUCUGAGUUCUCGGGCAGUGAUUCUGUGUCAGUAUCUGUGAAUACAUGAACACAUUAUAUCAGAAUGUUUGAAGGUGUCUGUGCAUAGUUGUCUAGAUUGAGUAUGAAGGAUUCUAUAGUUCAGUAUUGUCUGUUGGUUUAUGCAUUUAUUAGAGAUAGUGGUAAUUUGAGUAUGUGGAAUGCACCUUGUUUGCUGGAAGUACCUUGACACUUGGAUGUUGCUCCAUUUUCAUUAUGUGUUAGGCAAGGAAUAAUUGUUAGUGUGUCAUAUGGUUGUGGCCAAUAAUGUGAUAACCUGAGAUUUCAUCUUUGUACCUUCGAGUGCACGCCAUUCUUCAUAUAUUUCCCUGGUGUUCAAUGUCUAAGUUAGUAUCUCCUGUUAGGAUACAGGGAUGCUUAGUUAGUAUGAAGCAUCCUUUUGUUUCUUAUUUUCUUGUAGCAUAGCUGCAGAUUUGGAACCAUUUAUCUGCAUGCAGGGAUGAUGUCCUUUGAUUAUACAACCAUGAACGAAUGAUACAUAUGGGAGGCGAUACCGUUGUGCAACUUGUUGUAAAACAGGCACAAGACAAUCGGGUUCCAAACAUAGCCCACAAACCACAGCUGUAUAAUCAAAGGAUUUGUAAGAACUAAGGAUAGCCUAUCAUAACAAAGGCAUGAUUGGCUGAGAAGUAGGUUUCAAAAGUUUUAGGUCAUUGAACAGUGAGAUUUUUUUUGAAGGAACAAAGGAAACAAUGAAGAAGUAAUUUAUGUCAGAUGAUAAAUAAAAUAAAAAACCUGAUAUGGAAAGCCAAAUAGGUAGUAAUUACCUCGAUACUCCAUAAGGCCGAAUGAACCUGAACAAUCAGCAAAAAGGAAAUCGAACACUGCAGGGAUAUAGGCUGCUAAGGAAACAUGGAAACACAAUAUAAGUGAAUAAAGUAAAAGUCGUAGAGCUAUAAUGUACGGACAAAGUAAAAGUCGUAGAGCUAUAAUGUACGGACGAGAAAUAGAAGCACAAUACAAGGCAACACACAGAUGGGAACAUAGAUACAUAAACCUUAAAAAUAUAACACAACCAUCUGGUGCAUCAUUAAUUUAGGAAAUACAAUUCAUAUAGUAAGACAUAGCGUCUGAAUCCCUCAAGUGGUAACCUUUUAUCUGGUUUUAGGCAAUGGAAAAAUAGGAAAACAGACUGAAUAAUAGAUGGCAGGUAACGAAACAUGAUACACCAAAUGUAUUAUAAAUAAAAGAACGUAGAACAUUGACCCUAAGACAACCAACAGAGAUGGGAACACACCAUCUGAAUCCCUCAAACAAUAACCUUUUAUGUGAUUUUAGGCAAUGAAAAAAUAGAAAAACAAACUGAACAAUAAAUGUGAGGUAACAAAGCAUGACACAUGGAGUGUAUUAUACAUAUAAGAACCUAAGAAAUUGAACCUCCCAAAUAUAAAUAGCAUAAGCCAUAAUGCAUGAGGACUUCAGAUGAUAACCUAGAGUAACCUAUAUCUACGGUGGCUGUGGACAAUAAGCACACAAGAAAAAAGAGGGAAUGCUUUACAUCAGACAAAGCGUGAGCACACAUCCAAUGCACUGUAAACAUGGAGACAUAAUCAAAUUGAACCUGCGCAAUAUAAAAAGCAUGAAUUACCUAACUAAAAAUAAAAUAACCCAUAAUGUAUGAGAACCUCAAAUAGUAAACUAUAGUAACCUAUAUUCUUUGUCAUCGUGGACUAUGAGGAAACAAAAA